CUGGUGCUAGCCAGGAAGGGCCAGUACCACGCCAACAAAUCACAGGGAAGACAAGGGAAGUGGGGUGGGGGUGGGGGGUGGGAGUUAGUUUAACAGGAAACAGGAUCCUGCUUCCUCUCCCAAUCAACACUGCCAGCAUUCUGGGACUGCCCAAAUGAACCAACUGUCCACUCGGCUGUCCUCAAGCAGGCUUGCACUCUCUGCAGCAGAGCAUCGGUCACUCGGUCAUCACAGGGAGAAACUUGUCCGCAUUAUUAGAUGGUCAUCUAAUAACAUAAUAUACCUCUCCCCAAACUGAGUGCUGAGAGUGCCCUGAAUAAGAGGGAUUACCUUUUGUUCAAC
RNAcentral lists this long non-coding RNA (342 nucleotides) under Rattus norvegicus (Norway rat). Its description in RNAcentral is "long non-coding RNA NONRATT013629". The record is from RNAcentral. Lineage: Eukaryota; Metazoa; Chordata; Mammalia; Rodentia; Muridae.